CAUAUUUCAAAGGGUACAUUGUCACAUUCUGCAUCACAUUUUGUAUCAUGUGGAAUCUCCCUGAGAACUACGUUAGGGGUACACGUGUCUGUGAAGUGCUCAGCUACUUGCACAUUAAUUUCACAAGCAGGCUAUUCCAUUGAUCAAUACAACUGGAACACUUGUCAUGAACAACAGAGAGAGAGAGAGAGAGAGAG
Molecule: long non-coding RNA, 197 nt
Organism: Octopus sinensis (East Asian common octopus)
Lineage: Eukaryota; Metazoa; Mollusca; Cephalopoda; Octopoda; Octopodidae
Exons: 3
Source: RefSeq, a predicted model, not a curated record